UUUUUUAAUUGAAAACCGGAAUGAAAGGUUGGAACCAAGGGGAAAGUUUUAUAAAAUAUUAUUGAAUUUAAAUUAAAAGUAAAAAUGCUUUUGUAAAUUUUUGGGACGAAAAGACCCUAGAAGCUUAAAAAUUUCGGUUUUUUAGUUGGGGUAAUUUUUGAAGAAAAGAAUUUUUAUAUAAAAAAGAGGAGGAGGAAUAAGUUACUCUAGGGAUAACAGCAUAAUUUAAUUUGUAAGUUCUUAUUAAUAAUUAAGUUUGUGACCUCGAUGUUGAAUUAAUUUUAAUUUUUGGUGUAGGAGCUAAGAAGGGAGAGUCUGUUCGACUUGUAAAAGAUUACAUGAUUUGAGUUCAAAUCGGUUUAAGCCAGGUCGGUCCUUAUCUAU
Molecule: ribosomal RNA, 384 nt
Filed under: Parapucrolia aff. ocellata MZSP 73119
Lineage: Eukaryota; Metazoa; Arthropoda; Arachnida; Opiliones; Gonyleptidae
Description: partial large subunit ribosomal RNA
Rfam family: Bacterial large subunit ribosomal RNA (bases 102-383)
Source: RNAcentral